UACGGGAGGGGCUAGCGUUGUUCGGAAUUACUGGGCGUAAAGAGCGCGUAGGCGGCUUACCAAGUUGGGGGUGAAAUCCCGGAGCUCAACUCCGGAACUGCCUUCAAAACUGGUAGGCUCGAGUCCGGAAGAGGGGCGUGGAAUUCCCAGUGUAGAGGUGAAAUUCGUAGAUAUUGGGAAGAUCACCGGUGGCGAAGGCGGCGCCCUGGUCCGGUACUGACGCUGAGGCGCGAAAGCGUGGGGAGCAAACAGU
This 253-nucleotide ribosomal RNA is filed under the name uncultured bacterium. Its description in RNAcentral is "partial 16S ribosomal RNA". It matches the Rfam family "Bacterial small subunit ribosomal RNA", at positions 524 to 776 of the family's 1533-position model. The record is from RNAcentral.